RNAcentral lists this ribosomal RNA (1566 nucleotides) under Triticum aestivum (bread wheat). RNAcentral describes it as "partial small subunit ribosomal RNA". Lineage: Eukaryota; Viridiplantae; Streptophyta; Magnoliopsida; Poales; Poaceae. The record is from RNAcentral.
AUGAGGUGGUGGACGCUGUCCUCUCCAGGGAUGAUGUUCACGGAUGCGAUGAUACCCCGGAGGGUUCCUGGUCAAUGGUGCGGCCCAGGAAGAAGAAGUCGGACGCAGAGCUCCUGCAGGAGUUCUGGAAUGACGUGGGAUACCCUACCCCACACCGGCGUCCAGGGUGUGGGAGAAGGGCCGCGGCAGCUCAUCCGGCAAGGAACAAUCAGAUUCUCCUCACGGCCGCCGACGGAGAAUGAGACUACUGCUGGUCCGGUUGCUUCGCCGGAGUUGCCACGGCCGCCGACGGUGCCAGCGCGUCAACGUCGCGGGGUUUGCAUCCGGCCAGGACCGCUCCCGCGCCCCAGGAUAACGCCGCCAGUGGCGCUGGCUGCGUUCCUGCCGGCUUCCCAGACGGGUGCGUCGGCGGCGGCGGUGCAAUCUCCAUCGGAAGAAACGGCCGCGCUUUCAGCGGCAAGCGAUGAUUGCGCUCGCGGUCAAACGAUGGAGCCUCGGUCUUCAACUGCCGGUGAUCGCGCUUCUGUUCGAAUCAUGCAGACUCGGCCUUCGGCCUUGUUGCAGGAUCGUGGGCCCUGCCCGAGCGUGGCCAAUCAGGCCUUGCGGUUGGGCCGUACGAUCAGGAGGGUGGACCUGUUCCAGUACGAGGAGUCGGGAUGCCCUAGCCGUGUCUUUGGUAAUCCACAUCUGCACACCUCGUCAUCUCGGGAUCCGCCACCGCCGGCUGUGGUGGCAGCCCCUGCUGCUCAGAUACAAGAUACAAGAGAUAUCAAUUCCGUAGCUUUGGCCACUGUUGACACAACUGGACAAAUGCCGAAAGGAAAAAGAACUGGUCUAUGGUGUUUCAAAUGCAGAUCAGAUGAUCAUCUUUUCAAAGAUUGCACGGUGGUUCACUAUUGUCAUAUCUGCAACAACCACAAACAUCCUAUGCACCGCUGCCAUGUUCUCAAGCAACCAAGGCCAUGUGCUUUCCUCGGUGUUUGUGGUCUAGUAAACGCAAUGUUCGUACAGCUACCAGACUCGCUCUUCAAGGAGCAUCUUGCACCACGAACUUUGCCGACAGCUUUGGUUACGAUCUCUGGUGGUUCUUUGUCUGCUGCUGUGGUCGAGGUUGAGGUUGCUAAGAUCGCCUUGGUCCAGACUUCGUGGGAGUGGGAAGCCGUCCCUCAUGAAGCCAAUACUUUCUUAGUUUCCUUCCCGUCUGUCGAAAUUUUGCAGCGUGUUACCACUUUUGAGUACAAUGUGAAAUCGCAUGGCGUGAAGAUCGCUUUCAGUGAAUGGAAAGCUGAGGAGCUUCCAUCCGUUCUUCCUUUGCAGUCUGUAUGGGUUCAUGUCACGGGAGUCCCGCCACCACCGCGCCAUUUCCUUGGUCUAUGGGCGGUUGGAUCGGUUAUAGGCGCCACUCAGGACGUUGACUUGGUUUGCUUGCACCGACAUGGUAUAGUGCGAAUCCAGGUGGCUGUUCUUUCCUUGGAUAUUUUCAGCAAAAAGCAUGGGUCUGAUGAAGCCUCAGUCUCCUAUGAUGUUUACGUCAAGCUUAAUGGAUAUGCGUUUCGGUUUGUAUAG